UACGUAGGAUCCUAGCGUUGUCCGGAUUUACUGGGUGUAAAGGGUGCGCAGGCGGGCUUAUAAGUCAGUGGUGAAAUCUCGGCGCUUAACGCCGAAACUGCCUUUGAUACUAUAAGUCUUGAGUUUGGUAGAGAUCCGUGGAAUUCCGAGUGUAGCAGUGAAAUGUGUAGAUAUUCGGAAGAACACCAGCGGCGAAGGCAGCGGAUUGGGCCAAUACUGACGCUCAGGCACGAAAGCAUGGGGAUCAAACAGG
This 253-nucleotide ribosomal RNA is filed under the name uncultured bacterium. Its description in RNAcentral is "partial 16S ribosomal RNA". It matches the Rfam family "Bacterial small subunit ribosomal RNA", at positions 524 to 776 of the family's 1533-position model. RNAcentral also lists the same sequence under 1 other name. The record is from RNAcentral.